Molecule: ribosomal RNA, 485 nt
Filed under: uncultured bacterium
Lineage: Bacteria
Description: partial 16S ribosomal RNA
Rfam family: Bacterial small subunit ribosomal RNA
Source: RNAcentral
AUUGAACGCUGGCGGCAUGCCUUACACAUGCAAGUCGAACGGCAGCACGGGUGCUUGCACCUGGUGGCGAGUGGCGAACGGGUGAGUAAUACAUCGGAACAUGUCCUGUAGUGGGGGAUAGCCCGGCGAAAGCCGGAUUAAUACCGCAUACGAUCUACGGAUGAAAGCGGGGGACCUUCGGGCCUCGCGCUAUAGGGUUGGCCGAUGGCUGAUUAGCUAGUUGGUGGGGUAAAGGCCUACCAAGGCGACGAUCAGUAGCUGGUCUGAGAGGACGACCAGCCACACUGGGACUGAGACACGGCCCAGACUCCUACGGGAGGCAGCAGUGGGGAAUUUUGGACAAGGGGCGAAAGCCUGAUCCAGCAAUGCCGCGUGUGUGAAGAAGGCCUUCGGGUUGUAAAGCACUUUUGUCCGGAAAGAAAUCCUUGGCCCUAAUACGGUCGGGGGAUGACGGUACCGGAAGAAGAAGCACCGGCUAACUACGU